Molecule: RNase P RNA, 338 nt
Filed under: Alphaproteobacteria bacterium
Lineage: Bacteria; Pseudomonadati; Pseudomonadota; Alphaproteobacteria
Description: RNase P RNA component class A
Rfam family: Bacterial RNase P class A
About the family: Ribonuclease P (RNase P) is a ubiquitous endoribonuclease, found in archaea, bacteria and eukarya as well as chloroplasts and mitochondria. Its best characterised activity is the generation of mature 5'-ends of tRNAs by cleaving the 5'-leader elements of precursor-tRNAs. Cellular RNase Ps are ribonucleoproteins.
Source: RNAcentral
UAUGGGUAGCGUGCAGUCGCUUUGUUUACAAAGAGGAAAGUCUGAGCUCGCGUAGAAAGUGAUAACGGAUAACAUCCGUCGAGGGAAACCUUAGGGAAAGUGCAGCAGAAAAAAACCGCCGCAAGGUAAGGGUGAAAAGGUGAGGUAAGAGCUUACCGGAUAUCUAAAAUAUAUCGCAAUAUGCAAACCCUAUCACGAGUAAGAUCAAAUAGAGGUUAAAACUAUUUCUACAGUUGACCUGGGUUGAUCGCUAGAGCUAGGUAGCAAUAUUUAGCCUAGAUAAAUGACUGCAAAUUUUAAUUAAAUUACAGAACUCAGCUUAUAGCUACCCAAUUCUA